GGGCCCGCACAAGCGGUGGAGCAUGUGGUUUAAUUCGAUGCAACGCGAAGAACCUUACCAGGACUUGACAUAGAGAGAAGCCUGUUGAAAAACGGGUAUGCUACGGCCUCUCAUACAGGUGGUGCAUGGCUGUCGUCAGCUCGUGUCGUGAGAUGUUGGGUUAAGUCCCGCAACGAGCGCAACCCUUGUUUCUAGUUGAUUACUCUAGAAAGACUGCCGAUUAUAAAUCGGAGGAAGGUGAGGACGACGUCAAGUCAUCAUGCCCCUUACGUCCUGGGCUACACACGUGCUACAAUGGAUAUGACAAUUAGCUGCAAGCUCGUGAGGGUUAGCCAAUCUGUAAACAUAUCCCUAGUUCGGAUUGUAGGCUGCAACUCGCCUACAUGAAGGUGGAAUCGCUAGUAAUCG
Molecule: ribosomal RNA, 408 nt
Filed under: uncultured bacterium
Lineage: Bacteria
Description: bacterial SSU rRNA
Rfam family: Bacterial small subunit ribosomal RNA
Source: RNAcentral